GUGGGGAAUAUUGCGCAAUGGGGGAAACCCUGACGCAGCGACGCCGCGUGAGUGAAGAAGUAUUUCGGUAUGUAAAGCUCUAUCAGCAGGGAAGAAGAUGACGGUACCUGAGUAAGAAGCCCCGGCUAACUACGUGCCAGCAGCCGCGGUAAUACGUAGGGGGCAAGCGUUAUCCGGAUUUACUGGGUGUAAAGGGAGCGUAGACGGAAUGGCAAGUCUGAAGUGAAAUCCUGCGGCUUAACUGCAGAAUUGCUUUGGAAACUGUCAAUCUGGAGUGUUGGAGAGGUAAGCGGAAUUCCUGGUGUAGCGGUGAAAUGCGUAGAUAUCAGGAAGAACACCGGAGGCGAAGGCGGCUUACUGGACAAUAACUGACGUUGAGGCUCGAAAGCGUGGGAAGCAAACAGGAUUAGAAACCCCGGUAGUCC
This 425-nucleotide ribosomal RNA is filed under the name uncultured bacterium. RNAcentral describes it as "partial 16S ribosomal RNA". It matches the Rfam family "Bacterial small subunit ribosomal RNA", at positions 354 to 796 of the family's 1533-position model. The record is from RNAcentral.